CUUGGGGCUGCCUAUACAUGCAAGUCGAGCGAAUGGAUUAAGAGCUUGCUCUUAUGAAGUUAGCGGCGGACGGGUGAGUAACACGUGGGUAACCUGCCCAUAAGACUGGGAUAACUCCGGGAAACCGGGGCUAAUACCGGAUAACAUUUUGAACCGCAUGGUUCGAAAUUGAAAGGCGGCUUCGGCUGUCACUUAUGGAUGGACCCGCGUCGCAUUAGCUAGUUGGUGAGGUAACGGCUCACCAAGGCAACGAUGCGUAGCCGACCUGAGAGGGUGAUCGGCCACACUGGGACUGAGACACGGCCCAGACUCCUACGGGAGGCAGCAGUAGGGAAUCUUCCGCAAUGGACGAAAGUCUGACGGAGCAACGCCGCGUGAGUGAUGAAGGCUUUCGGGUCGUAAAACUCUGUUGUUAGGGAAGAACAAGUGCUAGUUGAAUAAGCUGGCACCUUGACGGUACCUAACCAGAAAGCCACGGCUAACUACGUGCCAGCAGCCGCGGUAAUACGUAGGUGGCAAGCGUUAUCCGGAAUUAUUGGGCGUAAAGCGCGCGCAGGUGGUUUCUUAAGUCUGAUGUGAAAGCCCACGGCUCAACCGUGGAGGGUCAUUGGAAACUGGGAGACUUGAGUGCAGAAGAGGAAAGUGGAAUUCCAUGUGUAGCGGUGAAAUGCGUAGAGAUAUGGAGGAACACCAGUGGCGAAGGCGACUUUCUGGUCUGUAACUGACACUGGAGGUCCAAAACCUGGAGAGCCAACCUCGCUAGAGAUCCCUGGGAAUUCACACGCCGAAAAUAGAAGAGUGCAAAUGGGAAAUAGGGUUUCCCGCCUUUGGGUGCAAAUCUUCACGUUUUAAACACCCCCCCCGGGAGUAGUACGGCGGGGUUGCAGAAACAAAAUAGGAAAUCGACGGGCGGCCGCCAUUAGCGGUAGAAACAUGUGGGUUAAAUUCGCAGCCACGCGAAAAAACC
RNAcentral lists this ribosomal RNA (967 nucleotides) under Bacillus cereus. RNAcentral describes it as "bacterial SSU rRNA". It matches the Rfam family "Bacterial small subunit ribosomal RNA", at positions 36 to 971 of the family's 1533-position model. The record is from RNAcentral. Lineage: Bacteria; Bacillati; Bacillota; Bacilli; Caryophanales; Bacillaceae.